UGAUCGUACAGAUAAACAAAGAUUGUGAAUAAAAGCAGCCAUUACAUCUGUUUGACUCGGUUUGAUUCGUACAUCUCUGCUCUUAGCUCUUUCAGUACAAUGUCGAUAAAGCUAUACUCGUGUUAGGAUUUUGAGAUGUGAAUUAUUGAUUUCUAUUAGUCUUAAGAAUUGGAUUCUGUCGCUUGAUCCCCUUGACUUUCACUUGCUU
Molecule: unclassified non-coding RNA, 208 nt
Filed under: Hevea brasiliensis (rubber tree)
Lineage: Eukaryota; Viridiplantae; Streptophyta; Magnoliopsida; Malpighiales; Euphorbiaceae
Source: RNAcentral